RNAcentral lists this ribosomal RNA (301 nucleotides) under uncultured bacterium. RNAcentral's name for it is "partial 16S ribosomal RNA". It matches the Rfam family "Bacterial small subunit ribosomal RNA", at positions 509 to 807 of the family's 1533-position model. The record is from RNAcentral.
CAGUCGCCGCGGUAAUACGGAGGGUGCAAGCGUUAAGCGGAAUUACUGGGCGUAAAGCGCACGUAGGCGGUUUGUUAAGUCAGAUGUGAAAUCCCCGAGCUUAACUUGGGAACUGCAUUUGGAACUGGCAAGCUAGAGUCUUGUAGAGGGGGGUAGAAUUCCAGGUGUAGCGGUGAAAUGCGUAGAGAUCUGGAGGAAUACCGGUGGCGAAGGCGGCCCCCUGGACAAAGACUGACGCUCAGGUGCGAAAGCGUGGGGAGCAAACAGGAUUAGAUACCCCUGUAGUCCCUGUCUCUUAUAC